GACGAACGCUGGCGGCGUGCUUAACACAUGCAAGUCGAACGGAAAGGCCCUGCUUGCAGGGUGCUCGAGUGGCGAACGGGUGAGUAACACGUGGGUGAUCUGCCCCUUAUUUUGGGAUAAGCCUGGGAAACUGGGUCUAAUACUGGAUAGGACCAUGCUGUAGGUGGUGUGGUGGAAAGAUUAGUUUCGGUAAGGGAUGAGCUCGCGGCCUAUCAGCUUGUUGGUGGGGUAAUGGCCUACCAAGGCGUCGACGGGUAGCCGGCCUGAGAGGGUGGACGGCCACAUUGGGACUGAGAUACGGCCCAGACUCCUACGGGAGGCAGCAGUGGGGAAUAUUGCACAAUGGGCGCAAGCCUGAUGCAGCGACGCCGCGGGGGGGAUGACGGCCUUCGGGUUGUAAACUCCUUUCAGCCAUGACGAAGCCCUUGUGGUGACGGUAGUGGUAGAAGAAGCACCGGCUAACUACGUG
Molecule: ribosomal RNA, 469 nt
Filed under: uncultured bacterium
Lineage: Bacteria
Description: partial 16S ribosomal RNA
Rfam family: Bacterial small subunit ribosomal RNA
Source: RNAcentral